ACGAACGCGCGUGGUAGCACGGAAAGUGUUCGAAGAGAACUAUAGAAGGGGCGAUCAGUGACUCUAUUGUUAUGUGUCAGUCCGCAAUUAAAAGUUACGUCUGAGAGGUCGUUAAAGGCGAAAUUAUGCGCGAACUCGAUCAUAAUCAAUGAUGCAUGAGGCCGCGAUGAGUUCUACCGAGUGAGUUUCAGUCAACAAUAUUCAAAGCCUUAUGCAAACAACUUGAUUAAGUAAACGCGAUGGAAAAAUAUCACGCGCCGAGCAACGCCGCACUGCAUGGGCCACAGUUGGCUAAAAAACUUAAUUACUGACUGCGAUAGAGCUGGCAGAAAGACACGGUGCACACGAAAUCGAAACAGCAUGCGCCAAUCUUACUCCCGGAAGAUACGUGCAAAUAAUCUGAUUCCCGUUGGAAGUAAUUCUUGCCAAGUUCUUCGCCCGUCAAUCAGUCCGCAAAAGGUGGAUGUAUAGAGGCUUGUUUGUGGCUUUAGGAGGCUUUCUUUGGAUUAGGCAUUUCGUUGGAGGAUUGCGUAGCGCAAGUGGAGAUAAUGCACAACUGUAUAUCAAGACAUUUAUAGGCUGCUGAGAACUCACUCUAACCAACGCCAAACCCCCGCUGUACACCAAACUACAAACCGAUAGAAAUAAAUCCCAAUUCUUUGUG
Molecule: long non-coding RNA, 664 nt
Organism: Nematostella vectensis (starlet sea anemone)
Lineage: Eukaryota; Metazoa; Cnidaria; Anthozoa; Actiniaria; Edwardsiidae
Exons: 2
Source: RefSeq, a predicted model, not a curated record